Molecule: long non-coding RNA, 409 nt
Filed under: Setaria viridis
Lineage: Eukaryota; Viridiplantae; Streptophyta; Magnoliopsida; Poales; Poaceae
Description: long non-coding RNA (SVIR_LNC005709)
Source: RNAcentral
UCAUCACCGUUGCUGUACUACUGAGUAACAUCGUGGUAAUGAUGUGUCGUCUCCAUAAUUCUUACUUUUGCCGUAUGAUAUGUCAUCUCUAACUAAAAUCACCCAUUAAAAAUCGCUUUUAAAAUCUUUUUACCGCUGAGCUCCCGGAAAUCAGAAAUCUUCCCGGCGAUUUCGCCGUCCCGGCACCCAAGCCGCCCUCCAUCAUUUUAUCCGUGCCCGUAAUUUCCGCCGCGUGCCGUCGCCAGACGCCGUGCGGGUGCUCCGACCGCGUGCCGCGAACGCCGUCGGUCCCUCUCCUUUUCUUCCUCUUUUUCCCCUCCCCUUUUCUUUUUCUUUUUCCUUUUUCCUUUCUUCCUCCUUUUUCUUUCUCCUUCCUCCUUCCUUCUUCUCUCUCCUCCCUCCUUCUUCU